UCUUGUUUUGGUCCUUUUAGAUAAUUGUUCUGCACAGAAUGCCUUUUAUUGCAGCCAUGACUUCUCAUGUUCUUUACUUAUGAUCGUAUGGUAAAAAGGGAAUCCUAGCCUCACCGUGUUCCUUUUAUUGAAAUGCGUUGGAAAUUAAGACUAUGGUCAGGGUUUCUUUACUGUUAUUGUUUUCUCAUGAUCUUCCUCUUUCUUUUUCUAUAAAAAAAAAGGUAAUGCACUGAGGCUAAGAUGAUAUUUUUUAAGGAAAAUUUAGUACAUAUUGUUUUAAGGAACACAUUGAUUGGUUAUUUGGCAAGACAAUGAGGUGUUCUGUGCAAAAAGAAUUAAUGGCGUAUAUAGUCCCUCUGUUUUCUGAUUUUUCUUAUUCUGGUCCCUUUAGAUAAUUGUUUUGCACAUAAUGCCUUUUAUUGCAGCCAUGACUUCUCAUGUUCUUUACUUAUGAUCGUAUGGUAAAAAGGGAAUCCUAGCCUAACCGUGUUCCUUUUAUUGAAAUGCGUUGGAAAUUUAGAAUAUGGUCAGGGUUUCUUUACUGUUAUUGUUUUCUCAUGAUCUUCCUCUUUCUUUUUCUAUAAAAAAAAAGGUAAUGCACUGAGGCUAAGAUGAUAUUUUUUAAGGAAAAUUUAGUACAUAUUGUUUUAAGGAACACAUUGAUUGGUUAUUUGGCAAGGCAAUGAAGUGUUAUGUG
Long non-coding RNA from Populus euphratica (Euphrates poplar), 697 nucleotides. RefSeq lists it as uncharacterized. The transcript is spliced from 2 exons. NCBI's taxonomy places the organism in Eukaryota, Viridiplantae, Streptophyta, Magnoliopsida, Malpighiales, Salicaceae. The record is from RefSeq and is a predicted model, not a curated record.